RNAcentral lists this ribosomal RNA (384 nucleotides) under uncultured prokaryote. Its description in RNAcentral is "bacterial SSU rRNA". It matches the Rfam family "Archaeal small subunit ribosomal RNA", at positions 339 to 725 of the family's 1478-position model. The record is from RNAcentral.
UCGCGAAACCUUUGCAAUAAGCGAAAGCUUGACAGGGCUAUCCCGCGUGCCAUCCGCUGAGGAAGGCUUUUACCCAGUCUAGAAAGCUGGGGGAAUAAGGAGAGGGCAAGUCUGGUGUCAGCCGCCGCGGUAAUACCAGCUCUUCGAGUGGUGUGGAUGUUUAUUGGGCCUAAAGCAUCCGUAGCUGGCUAGGUCAGUCCCUUGUUAAAUCCACCGAAUUAAUCGUUGGAUCGCGGGGGAUACUGCUUGGCUAGGGGACGAGAGAGGCAGACGGUAUUUUCGGGGUAGGGGUGAAAUCCUAUAAUCCCGGGAAGAACACCAGUGGCGAAGGCGGUCUGCUAGAACGCGCCCGACGGUGAGGGAUGAAAGCUGGGGGAGCGAACC